AUUGAACGCUGGCGGCAUGCCUUACACAUGCAAGUCGAACGGCAGCACGGGUGCUUGCACCUGGUGGCGAGUGGCGAACGGGUGAGUAAUACAUCGGAACGUACCUAUCGUGGGGGAUAACGCAGCGAAAGCUGUGCUAAUACCGCAUACGCCCUGAGGGGGAAAGCGGGGGAUCGCAAGACCUCGCGCGAUUAGAGCGGCCGAUGCCUGAUUAGCUUGUUGGUGGGGUAAAAGCCCACCAAGGCGACGAUCAGUAGCUGGUCUGAGAGGACGAUCAGCCACACUGGGACUGAGACACGGCCCAGACUCCUACGGGAGGCAGCAGUGGGGAAUUUUGGACAAUGGGGGCGACCCUGAUCCAGCAAUGCCGCGUGAGUGAAGAAGGCCUUCGGGUUGUAAAGCUCUUUUGUCAGGGAAGAAACACCGGCUCUAACACAGUCCGGGAAUGACGGUACCUGAAGAAUAAGCACCGGCUAACUACGUGCCAGCAGCCGCGGUAA
This 500-nucleotide ribosomal RNA is filed under the name uncultured bacterium. RNAcentral's name for it is "partial 16S ribosomal RNA". It matches the Rfam family "Bacterial small subunit ribosomal RNA", at positions 29 to 523 of the family's 1533-position model. The record is from RNAcentral.